This is a long non-coding RNA of Marmota monax (woodchuck), 1795 nucleotides long. RefSeq lists it as uncharacterized. The transcript has 2 exons. Lineage: Eukaryota; Metazoa; Chordata; Mammalia; Rodentia; Sciuridae. The record is from RefSeq and is a predicted model, not a curated record.
GUCUCGGGGGACGCGUUCCCGACCCGAGGAUCGUCCAGGUGCCGGCCUACAGGGGUCCAGUGGCUGCGCCGCUGGCCCUCCAUCCUGGGACACUGACUUGGAGCCUGUGAGCCCGCGGCGUUCCCAGGUUCCAUGUGACACCCAGAGAGGGAACUGAGACCUCAGUAGCCCCUCUCUCACACAAGGUGUACCUGAGUCCCGGCGGGGCCCACUCUCCCACCGGGUCCACCGGAUCCUGCCACGUGCCUGGCCGGUGCUUCUCGCUAUCCAGAAGGGGCUGCCUCCUGUCCUGCCAGGACUGGCCCUAGGAGGGACACAGCCUCCUGUGUGCUGCAGCAGCCAUGGGGUCCACCAGUCAGCCUGGCCUGCCCCUGUGCAAGGGCACCAAGACCCUUUAGAAGUCCCAGCGCCUCUCCUCCCCUCUCCCAGAGCAUCAGCUGUUGUGUCUCCAGAUGCCCAGGAAGUGGCUCCGCCAACCUGCACGUGGCCCUGCAGCCACCGGGGACCCUGUCCUCAGCUCCACCCUGGCAGGCCAGGCAGGCCGCUGUUUGGGGACACCAGCAGGGAGCUGUGUCUGGCUGCAGGCCCUCUGCGGAGCCCCCUCCAUGGCUGUGGGCGGCCGACUCUCACCACCUCUUCCCUGCAGUCACACUUCGCUUUUCUAUGGCACAUUUCCUGUAGAAGCAGUCCCACCUGGCCCUGCAGUCCUGCUGGGUGGCAGCUGCAGUGACAGGAGGGAGGGCCCCAGGGAAAGGGCUCCUUAGCUCCACUCCCAGAGGUGGGGGGAGACACGGUGGGGGUGUGAGGGAGGGUGUUAGGGUAGCCAGGGAGGGCUGGGGCCAAGGCCGCCCUGUAACAGGCCUGCCAUUGGAGCCAGAUAGGGGCACAUUCAGUGGGCAUGAGUCUUCAGGGACAGACCAUCUUCUUGCAUGGUCUCCAGGAUGCCUUCUCAUAGGAUGGGGGCUGUGAGGAUGGCCCUAGGCCUGAGCCUAAGCAACUCCAUUUUAAAAACUCCAGUUUGAAACCUGCAGGCUCACCAGGCACACCCACAGAGCCCUCCAGUGUGGCCUCAGACAAGUCACUUCCCCUGACCCUGAUCAACAGAGUGAAGCCCCUGGCAGGCUGUCCUCUCCUGAUAAGAGGGAAGGGCGAGAAGAUGAGGGGGCGGGGAGACACCAGACCAGAUGUUUCUGACCCCAGGGUAAAUGAUGUCACUUAGAAAUCCAGUGGUAGCUGAUAAGGAUUGAAAGGGGGGUCAAAAGCCCCCAAAUGUAGUAAAAAUAAUAGAGCAAAUGAACAGGGAUUCAGCCACCCAAAACAAGGAUGCACUUGAGCUAGAGAGCCUGAUGAGGACCUGACAUCCCGUCACUUGUCAUCCUUCCUGAGCCUCUGCGUGAUGGUCACCACUCUCAAACUCUACCGCCUUGUCUGGACCUUGGUGAGAGCCGCAACUUCUCCCUAAGACCCCCUCCUCAACCGGUUGUCCACUGCAUGCCAGGAAAAGCCUGCUUGGUUUCGGACCUGGUCACCACAGUCUGAGUGGGUGGGCAUCUGCUGGACAUAAAGCCUAAGACUUAGGACUUUUGAACUUAUCUUGCAGAGGGGAUGUCUGUCAUUAGUCUAUUGUGAUUAAGAGUGCUUGCAGUACUUAGACUUAAUCUAGAAUUGUUUGCUGUGAAUUGAUUAUGUCUAUUGCAGUGCCCAGCAUUAAGGAUUGUCUUUUUCUUGGUUAAGAACCUACAGAGUGAAACUGUAUGGAGUGAUUUGAGUGAAUAAAGCAUUGAAAGGGGCAGAA